AGUUUUGUUUCCCACUAGCACUGCAUGGUUAAAAAAAAAAAAUCUAUAUUUCUCAGGCCCUUAGCCACUUUCUGGAAUUCACAAUAUUCUUAAGGAAUAAAUUGUCCCCAAUGCCAGGUUCUUUUCUGGGUUUUAUGUUUUCUCCUGACUAUUGGUGCAUUAUUUUCUCAAUGACUUCUUUCCUCAGUACCUCUGGGCUUUCUAUGACCUGUAUUUCCAUCCAGCAUCUGCGGAAAUAGAUGUUGAACUGUGUAAUGGAUGCUGGGAUGUACCACCUAGAAUCCUUUUCAUGAAUGAGCUCUUUCCAGAGGUACCACAUACACUGGUUAGUGACUGCUCGCAGCUGAGUUUUUCUCUGGAAAUGGCUCAGCUUAUGGCAGCUGCCUUGCCUGGGAAGAUAGCCUGAACUAAAUGAUUAGUUGAGAUGGGAGUAUGUCUCAGCCACAGUGACUCAAUUAGGACUUCUGUGAAGGGUCAUUUCAGCUUUGGAACUAGAGAUCUGCAAGGGACAUCUGUUGAAACUUCAUAAUGGUUCAGCUCUUCCCUCUGCCCAGUUCUGCUUUUCUUACUUCCUUACAGGUUUUGUUUUAGAAUACUUCCCAAUUAAUCUACUGUAGAGUUCCCGUCUGUUUCAUUUGCUUUUAAUAUAGUCAUCAUAUACAAUUUCUUUUUUGGUUAUAUUUAACUCAUUUGGGGGGAGAGGAAGUUAGUGUUGGAAGAAGUAGUUCAUUUGAGAGAAGUAAUAUAGUUUGACCUUGACAGAAGCAGUUAAGAUAUACUGUCUUUUGCUUCAGAGAGCAAUCUUUACUUUGUUUCACAUUCACUUUUUAAAACUGAGAUAUAAUUGACAUAUAACAUUAUACUCGUUUCAGUUAUAGGACAUUGAGAUUAGAUUUUUGUACAUAUUGUGUGCAAUGUUCACAAUUCUAGCGAAUAUCAAUUCACAUACAUACAAAUGUUCUUGUGAUGAGAACUUUCACAAUCUACUCUUAGCAACUUUCAAAUAUACAAUACAGUAUUAUUAACUAUAGUUACCAUGCUGCACAUUACAUCUCCAUACUUUAUAACUGGAAGUUUGUACCAUUUGACCGCCUUCACUCAUUUCACCCAACCCCCACCUGUAACCACCACCAAUCUGGUCUCUGUAUCUGAGCUCAGAUUUAAAAGAAAAAUUAGAUACCACAUACAAGGGAAAUCGUAUGGUAUUGUCUUUCUCUGACUUACUUCACUUAGCAUAAUUUAUGCCCUCAAGGUCCAUCCAUGUUGUUGCAAAUGUCAAGAUUUUCUUUUUUUUUUUUUUAUGGCUGAAUAUUCCAGUGUGUGUAUGUUAUAAAGCUGUUACGAACAUGGUAGUGUAGAUAUCCUCUUGAGUUAGUGUUUUUGUUUCCUUUGCAUAAAUACUCAGAAGCAAAACUGCUGGAUCAUGUGGUAGUCCUAUUUUUUUUUUUUUUUUUGAGGAUCCUCUAAUGUACUGUUUUCUAUAGUGGCUGCACCAAGUUACAGUCUCAUCUACAGUGCACAAAGAAAGAUUCCCUUUUCUCCACUCUUGUAACCCUUAUUUCUUUUUGACAACAGCCAUUCUAAUGAAUGUAAGAUACUGUCUCACUGUGGUUUUGAUUUACAUUUCCUUGAUUAGUGAUGGUGAGUACCUUUUCAUGUACUUGCGCCCCCCUGUAUAUCUUUUUGAAAAGUGUUCAAGUGCUCUACCCAUUUUUAAAAAGUUCUUUUUUAACGCUUAUUUAUUUUCAAGAGACAGAGAGAGAGCAGGAGUGGGGGAGGGUCAGAGAGAGAGAGGGAGACACAGAAUCCAAAACAGGCUCCAGGCUCCAAGCUGUCAGCACAGAGACUGAUGCGGGGCUCGAACUCACGAACCGCGAGAUCAUGACCUGAGCUGAAGUCGGACGCUCAACUGACGGAGCCACCCAGGCGCCCCUCUACCCAUUUUUAAAGUUUUCUUGCUAUUGAGUUGUGUGAAUUCUUUAUAUAUUUUGGACAUUAAUGCCUUACCAGAUGAUUUGCAAGUAUUUUUUUCCCAUUGUGUAGGUUGCGUUUUCAUUUUGUUGGUUUCCUUUACUGUGCAGAAGCUGAAUUUGAUGUUAUCCUAUUUAUUUUAUUGUUGUUGCCUUUGUUUUUGGUGUCAGAUCUAGAAAAUCAUUGCCAAGACCAAUGCCAAGAUUACCACCUAUGUUCUAGUUUUAUAGCUUUAGGUCUUAUGGUCAAGUCUCAAUCCACUGAGUUGGUUUUUAUAUGUGGUAGAAGAUAGUGGCCCAGUUUCUUUUUCUUUUUUUGCAUGUAGAUACCCAGUUUAACCAACACCAAUUAUUGAAGAGACUCUUUUCCCCAUUGUAUGUUCUUUUCUGUUUCUAAUUUUUCUAUUGUUUCAUUGAUCUGUAUACCUGCUUUUGUGCUAUUAUUUUGAUUACUAUAGCUGUGUAAUAUAGUUUGAAAUCAGAAAACAUGAUGCCUCCAGCUCUUGUUCUCAAGAUUGCUUUGGUUAGUGGCUCCUGGCUGGCUCCCGGCCGGCUCAGUCAGUGGAGUGUGCUACUCUUGAUCUUGGGGUUGUGGGUUUGAACCCCAUGUGGGGUGUAGAGAUUACUUGAAAAUAAAAUCUUAAAAAGAUUGCUUGGGCUAUUUGGGGUCUUUUGUGGUUCCACACAGAUUUUAGGAUUCUGUGAAAAAUGCCACCGAAAUUUAGAAAGGGAUUGUACUGCUGUAGGUUACCUUGGGUAGUGUGGACGUUGUUAUAGUUUUCGGUGUAUAGGUCUUCCCGUUUGGUUAAAUUCCUAUUUUGUUCUUUUUGAUGCAAAUGUAAAUGGGAUGAAGAAACUUCUCUGCUAGCUCAUUGUUAGUGUAUAGAAAUACAACUAUAUUCUGUUCUGUGUAUUGAUUGUACACUGGAACCUUACUGAACUUUAUUAGUUUCAGGUUUUUUGGUGGUCUGACCUGGUUGUUUUACUUUUUCCAAAGUCUAAUUGCUCUGGUAAGGGCUUUCAAUACUAUGUUGAAUAAAAGUGGGGAGAGUGGGCAUCUUUGUCGUUUCUGAUCUUAGAGGAAAAUCUUUGAGCUUUUCACUGAACAUAUCACACUUGUGAUAUAUGGCCUUUAUUAGUUGAGGUAUAUUCCUGCUAACCCACUUUGCUGAAUUUUUAUAAUGGCUAUUCAAUUUUGUCAGAUAUCAUUUCUGCAUCUAUUAAGAUGACCCUGUUUUUAUCCUUCGUAAUGAGAUGUAUGAUUAAUUUGUAGGUAUUGCACCACCCUUGCAUUCCUGGAGUAAAUCCCACUUGAUUAUGAUGUCUGAUCUGUCUAAUGUUGAAUUUUGUUAGUGUUUUGAGGACUUUUGCACCUAUGUUCAUGAUAUUGGCCUAUAAUUUUCUUGUGAUGUCCUUUUCUAGUCUAGUCCCAGGGUAAUGCUGGUUUUAUCAAAUGAGUUUGAAGUAUUCCCUCCUCUUCAAUUUUCUGGAAGAGUUUGAGAAGAUUAAGUAUGCUUAUUCAAAUGUUUGGUGGAAUUCACGCGUGGUGCUGUCUGGUCCUUGAUUUUUGUUUACUGGGAGGUUUUUGAUGACUGAGUUGAUCUAACUAGUAAUUUGGUCCCUUUAGAUUUUGUUUCUUAAUGAUUCAGACUUGGUAGGAAGUAUAUUUUGAGGAAUUUUCCAUUUCCUCUAGGUUGUCUGAUUUGUUGUACUAUAUUCACAGAAGUCGCUUAUGACCCUUUGCAUUUUGGUGGCGUAUCAUCCAGCUAAAGGUUUGUCAAUCUUUUCAAAAAACCAGCUCAUGGUUUCAUUGAUCUUUUCCUGUUUUUGUUUCACAUGUUUCCUCCCUGAUCUUUAUUCCCUUCCUUUCUACUAACUUUGGGCUUCGUUUUUUUUUUUUUUUUUUUUGUAGUUCCUGGAGUUGUAAAAUUAGGUUGAGAGCUUGUUUUUUUGAUAUAGGCAUUUACUGCUGUGAACUUCUCUUAGAGCUGCUCUUGCUGUAUCCCUGAAGUUUGGGUAUAUUGUAUUUCCAUUUGUCCCAAGGUAUGUUUUAAUUUCUUCUUUGAUCUAUUGGCUGUUCAGUAGCCUGUUAUCUAAUUUCCACAUAUUUGAAAAAUUUCCAGUUUGCUUCAUGUAAUUUUCUAGUUUCAUACUAUUGUCAGAAAAGAUACUUGGUAUUUCAAUUUUCUGCAAUUUAUUCUCUGCCCUAGUGUGGAAAUUAUUUUUUAUUAAAGCUUUCUGUGGUACAUGUGAUAUGUGUGCCUGGGAAGAAUGUGUAUUCUGUUACUUCUGGAGGGAAUGUUCUGUACAUGUCUGUUAAGGCCAAAGUCCCCUACUAUUGUUGUAUUACUAUUUCUCCCUUUAGGUCUGUUAAUAUUUGCUUUAUAUAUUUAGGUUGUGAUAUUUAGGGAUGUUCUAGCCUCUUGUUGGACUGAUA
Acinonyx jubatus (cheetah) is the source of this 4407-nucleotide long non-coding RNA. RefSeq lists it as uncharacterized. The record is from RefSeq and is a predicted model, not a curated record. The transcript has 3 exons. NCBI's taxonomy places the organism in Eukaryota, Metazoa, Chordata, Mammalia, Carnivora, Felidae.